Molecule: long non-coding RNA, 371 nt
Organism: Salvia splendens (bonfire salvia)
Lineage: Eukaryota; Viridiplantae; Streptophyta; Magnoliopsida; Lamiales; Lamiaceae
Exons: 2
Source: RefSeq, a predicted model, not a curated record
CCGCAACAAAGAAAGCUCUGAAGAUUCUUUGCUGAUCGCCGGAGGAGAAGUGAUGCGCUUCAGAUCGACUCAAUUUUGCUCUGGAUGUGCAAGUAAAAAUGGUAAAACCUUCAUUCCCAGGUAGGGGCAGAACAUCGAAUGUUUGUGCAGCCGCGCGAGGGCGACUACAUUGUGGAUGGCCUUAGUUGUCAGUUUUAACUCUUGGCAAAGUUAUUUGAUCGCAAUUUAAUAAGGACAUUCGUAGUGUGGCCGCAAAUGCGAUUGCACUCGGAAGGAUAUAGGCAGGUCGAGAUGCCAACAUCUCUUUUCUUUUUGUAAUUGAAUUUAAUAUGAAAAAUUAUCUAAACUAUAAUCUGAUCUAAAUUUUAAAA